UACAGAGGGGGCAAGCGUUAUUCGGAAUUAUUGGGCGUAAAGGGCGCGUAGGCGGCUUGGCAAGUGGAAGGUGAAAUCCCUCGGCUUAACCGAGGAACUGCCUUCCAGACUGCUUUGCUUGAGGCCGGGAGAGGCGAGUGGAAUUCCCAGUGUAGCGGUGAAAUGCGUAGAUAUUGGGAGGAACACCAGUGGCGAAGGCGGCUCGCUGGACCGGUUCUGACGCUGAGGAGCGAAAGCAUGGGGAGCGAACAGG
Molecule: ribosomal RNA, 253 nt
Filed under: uncultured bacterium
Lineage: Bacteria
Description: partial 16S ribosomal RNA
Rfam family: Bacterial small subunit ribosomal RNA
Source: RNAcentral